AGUGUGUCCAGGGCAGCUGUGGUGGGGUGGUGGUGUAUUGUUGGGAUAUUGUUAUCGUGAUUCUGGCGCUAAAUGCGAUGCUUGCUUUGACUGAUAAGCUAAAGACGAACUUACUAGUGACUGAUGUGCAGUGUGAGUGAUGAGAUGAAGGAAAACUGUGUGUUGAGGUGUGUGCUUCAUUACGAGGCGUCCGUGAUGUGCAUUUAAGCAGCUGUUAGUUUGAUCGGCUGGCGUUGUUAGCGGGUGUGUUUGUGAAGUGAAAUUUGGUGCACACAGUGUAAUGCAAGGGGAGAUGCUGUGGCUAAUGCAAUGUGGAUGGCUGGAUACUGUCGACAAUGUAGUUCAUUGGCAGACAAUGUGUUGGUAGCAGGAAGUGUUGCCAUACUGUGGUGGUGCCGGUGAAUCUGCCAUCUGGUGGUCACUUGAAUCUAACCAGGGAGGAGUGUUCAGAUACUGCGAUGCCUCCGAAAAGUAUUGUAUUAUUGCACUGGAGUGUGGUGAGAGUGGCGUCAGUGUCAUCCUCUACUGUAUAUUUGUCCACGAUGACUGAGAUCAGAAGGACCAGCUCAGUGUUGAGUCCUGCGUGAACUUGGCAAAUGGGGAAGUGUAGCUGUCAGACAUAUGCCUAACUAUACCUCUGGUACUGUGUAGUGAAGUCUGUCAUCAAGAGGAGGUUCGAUUGAGGAAGAAAAAUUCAGCCAAUAUUUUGCCUUCAGGAAACAAAUCUUCCAUCUCCUCACAAGGUUUGAGGCAAGGCCAUGCCAACAAGCGCUGUGGGAGGAGCAACUUCACCUCGCCGCGGCAGGAGGUGGCGUUGUGCAGACAGGAAAAUUAAUCAGCAAUGACAGAUAUGAUCGCCGUUGCUUUAGUGUGAGAGGCGAGGCGGCGUCUGGUGUCACCGCUGCCACCAGGCUGUCCCGCGGGCUGACCUAAUUAGAGAAUGUACAGUUGCAGGAAAACAGACGACAAUCAAAGUGAGGAAUGUCUGUCGUGUGGAAAUGACCGAGGCUUCAGCAGACCAUUGCUCACACACUCACACACACUCAGAGUACGAGCCGCAUACUCUUGCCGGACUGUCUCCAGGAGGUGGAUGAUGACAUGGUCAAACAGUGAACAGAGACGACACCCAAGUCCACCGCCGCUGGUUUUCAUCACUGCCAGGCUCUGCUCUUCUGACCUUCCUGCCCUGGCGCCGCACUCUUGACCCUCUAUCCUCUGGAGAAUAACAACUUAGCAGGACAUGGUAAAGAUAUCAAAACCACCACACACCACGGCGUGCUACCCGACGUCUUCCAGUGGUGCGAUCCCGUCCGUCAGGGGAGGCUAGAAAUGAGCUCACGACUCCUCAAAAGAAUCUCCUCCGCCAUCCCUAAUGCGAGCAGCGGCGGAGAGGAAUAAAGAUGGGAAGGAGAUGAUAAAUGUUGAAAGUAUCAGCAAGGUAGUGGUGGUGAGCACAGGAAAGAAGAGAUGAUAAGUUUGAGAACAUAAGAUGGAUCGAAGAAAUGACCUGCAAGAGACAACGUGAAGAACGCCCUGCAGCCCUAAACGAGUAAGCUUCAGGAGUCUAAUGCUGGAGAGGAUCGCUAGAAGAGGCUGCUGGGCAUGUGUCAUCACCACCUGUCAUGGCUAUACGAGUAUUUGUACGAGUA
RNAcentral lists this long non-coding RNA (1649 nucleotides) under Portunus trituberculatus (swimming crab). RNAcentral's name for it is "uncharacterized LOC123513156, transcript variant X1". The record is from RNAcentral. Lineage: Eukaryota; Metazoa; Arthropoda; Malacostraca; Decapoda; Portunidae.